RNAcentral lists this ribosomal RNA (292 nucleotides) under uncultured bacterium. RNAcentral describes it as "partial 16S ribosomal RNA". The record is from RNAcentral.
GGACUACCGGGGUAUCUAAUCCUGUUCGCUCCCCAUGCUUUCGCUCCUCAGCGUCAGUUAAUGCCCAGAGACCUGCCUUCGCCAUCGGUGUUCCUCCUGAUAUCUGCGCAUUUCACCGCUACACCAGGAAUUCCAGUCUCCCCUACAUCACUCUAGUCUGCCCGUACCCACUGCAGAACCGGAGUUGAGCCCCGGUCUUUCACAGCAGACGCGACAAACCGCCUACGAGCUCUUUACGCCCAAUAAUUCCGGAUAACGCUUGCGCCCUACGUAUUACCGCGGCUGCUGGCAC